AGGAUAAUAGUUAAUUUUAUAACAUUUAAGUUGCAUUUAAAAAUAAUUGAUUUCAAUUUAUCUU
RNAcentral lists this transfer RNA (64 nucleotides) under Cucujoidea sp. 28 KM-2017. RNAcentral's name for it is "tRNA-Ala". The record is from RNAcentral. Lineage: Eukaryota; Metazoa; Arthropoda; Insecta; Coleoptera.